This 496-nucleotide ribosomal RNA is filed under the name uncultured bacterium. RNAcentral describes it as "partial 16S ribosomal RNA". It matches the Rfam family "Bacterial small subunit ribosomal RNA", at positions 28 to 507 of the family's 1533-position model. The record is from RNAcentral.
GAUGAACGCUGGCGGCGUGCCUAAUACAUGCAAGUCGAGCGAACGGACGAGAAGCUUGCUUCUCUGAUGUUAGCGGCGGACGGGUGAGUAACACGUGGAUAACCUACCUAUAAGACUGGGAUAACUUCGGGAAACCGGAGCUAAUACCGGAUAAUAUUUUGAACCGCAUGGUUCAAAAGUGAAAGACGGUCUUGCUGUCACUUAUAGAUGGAUCCGCGCUGCAUUAGCUAGUUGGUAAGGUAACGGCUUACCAAGGCAACGAUGCAUAGCCGACCUGAGAGGGGAGUCGGCAAACCUGAAAUAGGGCCACGGUCAAAAUUCCUAGGGAGGCAGCAGUAGGGAAUCUUCCGCAAUGGGCGAAAGCCUGACGGAGCAACGCCGCGUGAGUGAUGAAGGUCUUCGGAUCGUAAAACUCUGUUAUUAGGGAAGAACAUAUGUGUAAGUAACUGUGCACAUCUUGACGGUACCUAAUCAGAAAGCCACGGCUAACUACGUG